UACGGAGGAUGCAAGCGUUGUCCGGAAUCAUUGGGCGUAAAGGGUCCUGAGGUGGUUUGCUCAGUCCACUGUGAAAGUUCAGGGCUUACCCUUGAAAAUGCGGUGGAAACUAGCAGGCUAGAGUACGGUGGGGGCAGAGGGAAUUCCCGAUGUAGCGGUGAAAUGCAUAGAUAUCGGGAAGAACACCGAUGGCGAAGGCACUCUGCUGGGCCGACACUGACACUGAAAGACGAAAGCCAGGGGAGCGAAUGGG
This 253-nucleotide ribosomal RNA is filed under the name uncultured bacterium. Its description in RNAcentral is "partial 16S ribosomal RNA". It matches the Rfam family "Bacterial small subunit ribosomal RNA", at positions 524 to 776 of the family's 1533-position model. The record is from RNAcentral.